GAUGAAGAACGCAGCGAAAUGCGAUAAGUAAUGUGAAUUGCAGAAUUCAGUGAAUCAUCGAAUCUUUGAACGCACAUUGCGCCCGGCAGUACUCUGCCGGGCAUGCCUGUUCGAGCGUCAUUUCAACCCUCAAGCCCUGCUUGGUGUUGGGGCCCUACGGCUGCCGUAGGCCCCGAAAGGAAGUGGCGGGCUCGCUACAACUCCGAGCGUAGUAACUCAUUAUCUCGCUUAGGGCGUUGGGCGGCGCUCCAGCCGUUAAAGAACCAUCUUUAACUCAAGGUUGACCUCGGAUCAGGUAGGAAUACCUGCUGAACUUAAGCAUAUCAAUAAGCGGAGGA
Molecule: unclassified non-coding RNA, 338 nt
Filed under: soil metagenome
Description: partial contains 5.8S ribosomal RNA, internal transcribed spacer 2, and large subunit ribosomal RNA
Rfam family: 5.8S ribosomal RNA (bases 1-120)
Source: RNAcentral